GCCCGGGUGCUGAAAUUGGUAUACAGGCUACCUUGAGGUGGUAGUGUCCAUUGGACAUGGAGGUUCAAGUCCUCUCCCGGGCACCA
This 86-nucleotide transfer RNA is filed under the name Minisyncoccota bacterium. RNAcentral's name for it is "tRNA-Leu". It matches the Rfam family "tRNA". Rfam says of the family: Transfer RNA (tRNA) molecules are approximately 80 nucleotides in length. Lineage: Bacteria; Bacillati; Minisyncoccota. The record is from RNAcentral.